UACGUAGGAGGCGAGCGUUGUCCGGAGUUACUGGGCGUAAAGGGUGCGUAGGCGGCUGCGCGCGUGGAGGGUGAAAUCUCUCGGCUUACCCGGGAGGGGGGCUUUCCAGAGGCGUGGGCUUGAGGGACGGAGAGGGAUAGUGGAAUUCCUGGUGUAGCGGUGAAAUGCGUAGAUAUCAGGAGGAACACCGGUGGUGUAGACGGCUAUCUGGACCGUAACUGACGCUGAGGCACGAAAAGCGGUGGGUAGCAAAACCAGGGA
RNAcentral lists this ribosomal RNA (261 nucleotides) under uncultured bacterium. RNAcentral describes it as "partial 16S ribosomal RNA". It matches the Rfam family "Bacterial small subunit ribosomal RNA", at positions 524 to 784 of the family's 1533-position model. The record is from RNAcentral.